Molecule: long non-coding RNA, 432 nt
Organism: Pecten maximus
Lineage: Eukaryota; Metazoa; Mollusca; Bivalvia; Pectinida; Pectinidae
Exons: 3
Source: RefSeq, a predicted model, not a curated record
GGUGCUAUUUUCUUUGCAUUACUGUAAUACUGUCGCAUUAAUCAUAUAGCAUUUCAUAUUUCCAUCAUAUUGUUUCACAUCGAAUAACUUAAUUUGUUUUACUGUUACAGAAAAGGAAGAGGGAUGAAGAGCCAUCCGAAGACCUGCAGAGAAAGAGGGUGAGGUUGGAAUCGCCUGAAAGAAUCGACGUUCUGACAUCUGACUUCCACACAGUAUCCAUAGAUGAGGAAAUGUUCAAGGCCCUUAUUACCUCAUUAGACAUGUAAAGUGAGUAACUGAGUUUUCUCCUUUUCAUUUUAACUCUUUUUCAACUUGAAUAAUUGUUAAUAUUUUCUACAAUUCGAUUUUUUCUUUUAUUGAAAUAUCUGUGGUAAAAUAUUUGUUCUCUCUCUUUUCAGAUCUCCAAAAUAAAUGAAACGAAUCGUAAAAUAC